This 219-nucleotide ribosomal RNA is filed under the name uncultured bacterium. Its description in RNAcentral is "partial 16S ribosomal RNA". It matches the Rfam family "Bacterial small subunit ribosomal RNA", at positions 15 to 224 of the family's 1533-position model. The record is from RNAcentral.
GAUCAUGGGCUCAGGAUGAACGCUAGCUACAGGCUUAACACAUGCAAGUCGAGGGGCAGCAUGGUCUUAGCUUGCUAAGGCUGAUGGCGACCGGCGCACGGGUGAGUAACACGUAUCCAACCUGCCGUCUACUCUUGGACAGCCUUCUGAGAGGAAGAUUAAUACAAGAUGGCAUCAUGAGUCCGCAUGUUCACAUGAUUAAAGGUAUUCCGGUAGACG